This 256-nucleotide unclassified non-coding RNA is filed under the name uncultured fungus. Its description in RNAcentral is "sequence contains ITS1, 5.8S rRNA gene". The stretch from base 208 to 256 matches the Rfam family "5.8S ribosomal RNA", at positions 1 to 49 of the family's 154-position model. The record is from RNAcentral. Lineage: Eukaryota; Fungi.
UCUCCGUUGGUGAACCAGCGGAGGGAUCAUUGCUGGAACGCGCCCCGGCGCACCCAGAAACCCUUUGUGAACUUAUACCUUACUGUUGCCUCGGCGCAGGCCGGCCUCUUAGCUGAGGCCCCCCGGAGACGGGGAGCAGCCCGCCGGCGGCCAACCUAACUCUUGUUUUUACACUGUAUCUCUGAGCAAAAAACAUAAAUGAAUCAAAACUUUCAACAACGGAUCUCUUGGUUCUGGCAUCGAUGAAGAACGCAGC